RNAcentral lists this ribosomal RNA (253 nucleotides) under uncultured Streptosporangiales bacterium. Its description in RNAcentral is "uncultured Streptosporangineae bacterium partial 16S ribosomal RNA". It matches the Rfam family "Bacterial small subunit ribosomal RNA", at positions 524 to 776 of the family's 1533-position model. Lineage: Bacteria; Bacillati; Actinomycetota; Actinomycetes; Streptosporangiales. The record is from RNAcentral.
UACGUAGGGCGCGAGCGUUGUCCGGAAUUAUUGGGCGUAAAGAGCUCGUAGGCGGCUGGUCGCGUCUGCCGUGAAAGGCCUGGGCUUAACUCGGGUUUUGCGGUGGAUACGGGCCGGCUAGAGGUAGGUAGGGGAGAACGGAAUUCCUGGUGUAGCGGUGAAAUGCGCAGAUAUCAGGAGGAACACCGGUGGCGAAGGCGGUUCUCUGGGCCUAUCCUGACGCUGAGGAGCGAAAGCGUGGGGAGCGAACAGG